UUUAUUAUACGAAAAUCUUUGUGUGAAAUUUGCACAAAUCCUCUUAUUCCUCAUGUGGUAAUAUUUUCCUAAAAGGGUAAUAAGACACAUGCAUGUAAUCUAAGUGGAGAACUAAUUAAAUGAAUUCAUUAAAUUAUCUAAGAGUUCACAUGAUAUACUUUAUUUAUGUAUUAAGUACUCACUAGAAAUUCUAGUUACACCCAAAUAAAAAUAAUAAUUACACCCUAAAGAGACAACAUUACAUUUAAAAUAAAAUUCUAGUUUUAUUU
RNAcentral lists this long non-coding RNA (269 nucleotides) under Lathyrus oleraceus (garden pea). Its description in RNAcentral is "Pisum sativum (pea) long non-coding RNA (PSAT_LNC021874)". Lineage: Eukaryota; Viridiplantae; Streptophyta; Magnoliopsida; Fabales; Fabaceae. The record is from RNAcentral.